AUAAUCUGUCAUGAUGUUAUUCUCUCUCUUGUCAUUUGAACAAAAAUCAUUAGUUGCAGUUCAUACUAAGAAUGGAAGGAGAUGGGUAUUACACAAACUUGAUGAAUGAAACUGAGGAGAACAAUGCUGUGCCUUUCGCUUCUAGAAGCCCCCCUGCAGUGCAGCAAGCACCCUGUGUGGGCAAUACUGGCAGCACGAGGCCAAACCAGAAGAGAUCAAAAAACUUUAGUGAGGAAGAAGAUAAACUACUAGUAGCAGCAUGGUUAAAUGUCAGUAUUGAUCUAGUGCGUGGUGUGAAUCAAACUCGCGGCGCAUUUUGGAAGAGAAUUUAUGAUUUCUUUCAUUCAAAUAAGGAGUUUCCAUCAGAUCGUAGCCAAAGUUCACUUAUCCACCGUUGGUCAACUAUUCAAGAGUGUGUCAACAAGUUCUGUGCAUCGCUUAUCCAAAUUGAGGGUAGAAGGCAAAGCGGUGUGACUGUAUAUGACAAGCUUACGGAGGCUUGUGCUUUCUACAUGGCAGAAGAUAAAGACAAUAAGUCAUUUCAGUUCAUGCAUUGCUGGAACCUGUUAUGAACACAGCCAAAGUGGCAUGACAGGAUGAAGGAGUUGGCAACUCAGAAGAAUUCACACAAAAAACAGAAGACUGCAGCAGAUUCAGUUCUUGGGAUGGAUUCUGUGGAAAAUGGAAAUGAUGUCAAUCGUGAUGCAGACCAGAAUGAGAUUCCUGAGAGUGAUGUAGGCAAGAAAAGACCAAUGGGCAACAAGAAGGCAAAAGUUCUUUGCGUCGAGGUGGAGGUGAUGCAUGCACAGAGGCUUUGGACCAUUUGUG
This is a long non-coding RNA of Panicum virgatum (switchgrass), 828 nucleotides long. RefSeq lists it as uncharacterized. The transcript is spliced from 2 exons. Lineage: Eukaryota; Viridiplantae; Streptophyta; Magnoliopsida; Poales; Poaceae. The record is from RefSeq and is a predicted model, not a curated record.